This is a long non-coding RNA of Rosa chinensis, 488 nucleotides long. RefSeq lists it as uncharacterized. Lineage: Eukaryota; Viridiplantae; Streptophyta; Magnoliopsida; Rosales; Rosaceae. The record is from RefSeq and is a predicted model, not a curated record. The transcript is spliced from 3 exons.
CGACCCUCUCUCUCUCUCCCUCUCUCGCGACAUCAUUCUGGCAUUCUCUCAGCCUCUCUUUCUCUCAGAACCCAGCCCCAAUUUGUUGAUUCCACCCCUAAUUCCAGUCCCAAAAACACAAUCUAAGCAAGAUGCAAACCUCACUAACAUAAAUUUCAACCCAUAUCGUUUGAUUUUCGAAAACCCUAAAAAAUCCUAGAUCAGUUCCUUGGUUCAAGUGGUGGUUCAGAGGCUUAUAAGGUGUUGAAAAGGCGGUUCUUCGCACAACGAAUUAGGAAAAUCCUUUGUUUUGGGAUUGCAAAAAUGCAAAGGCCAAGAUGGGGGGAAACGAAUGAGUCUGAACUUUGAUAGAGUGAAGUAAGUGAUCUUCUUCGAUGGCUUUAUUAGUUUGUGACAUUUUUCAUAAAUUGUUGUUUUUGAGUACUUCUGAAUUGGUUGAGGGUUGAGCAACCUAAUUUCUAUUCAAAACCAAUAAAGGAUGAGCAUAC